RNAcentral lists this ribosomal RNA (229 nucleotides) under uncultured bacterium. Its description in RNAcentral is "partial 16S ribosomal RNA". It matches the Rfam family "Bacterial small subunit ribosomal RNA", at positions 568 to 796 of the family's 1533-position model. The record is from RNAcentral.
UGCGCAGGCGGAAUGAUAAGUCAGUGGUGAAAUCCUACGGCCUAACCAUAGAACUGCCAUUGAUACUGUCAUUCUUGAGUACAUAUGAAGUGGGCGGAAUGUGUCAUGUAGCGGUGAAAUGCAUAGAUAUGACACAGAACACCGAUAGCGAAGGCAGCUCACUAAAUUGUAACUGACGCUCAUGCACGAAAGCGUGGGGAGCAAACAGGAUUAGAUACCCUGGUAGUCC